UGAGUUUGAUCCUGGCUCAGAGUGAACGCUGGCGGCGUGCUUAACACAUGCAAGUCGAACGAGAACGGAUUUUAGCUUGCUAAAAUUGUCAGCUAAGUGGCGCACGGGUGAGUAAUAUAUAGGUAAUGUGCCCUCUACAAAGGAAUAACAGUUGGAAACGACUGCUAAUGCCUUAUAUGCCUUUAAGACAUAAGUCUGCAAGGGAAAGUUUUUUCGGUAGAGGAUCGGCCUGUACGGUAUCAGUUAGUUGGUGAGGUAAUGGCUCACCAAGACAAUGACGCCUAACUGGUUUGAGAGGAUGAUCAGUCACACUGGAACUGAGACACGGUCCAGACUCCUACGGGAGGCAGCAGUGGGGAAUAUUGCACAAUGGGGGAAACCCUGAUGCAGCAACGCCGCGUGGAGGAUGACACAUUUCGGUGCGUAAACUCCUUUUAUGUGGGAAGAUAAUGACGGUAUCACAUGAAUAAGCUCCGGCUAACUCCGUGCCAGCAGCCGCGGU
This 502-nucleotide ribosomal RNA is filed under the name uncultured Campylobacterota bacterium. RNAcentral's name for it is "bacterial SSU rRNA". It matches the Rfam family "Bacterial small subunit ribosomal RNA", at positions 1 to 521 of the family's 1533-position model. The record is from RNAcentral. Lineage: Bacteria; Pseudomonadati; Campylobacterota.